CUGGCCGUAAACGAUGGAUACUAGGUGUGGGUGAAGCAGUUCAUCCGUGCCGCAGUUAACGCGAUAAGUAUCCCGCCUGGGAACUACGGCCGCAAGGCUGAAACUCAAAGGAAUUGACGGGGGCCCGCACAAGCGGUGGAGCACGUGGUUUAAUUCGAUGCAAACCGAAGAACCUUACCUGGGUUUGACAUACAAGUGGUAUAGAAGUGAAAGCGGAUAGACCCUAGCUUGCUAGGGAGCUUGAACAGGUGC
Molecule: ribosomal RNA, 252 nt
Filed under: uncultured Cloacibacillus sp.
Lineage: Bacteria; Thermotogati; Synergistota; Synergistia; Synergistales; Synergistaceae
Description: partial 16S ribosomal RNA
Rfam family: Bacterial small subunit ribosomal RNA
Source: RNAcentral